Pteropus vampyrus (large flying fox) is the source of this 119-nucleotide ribosomal RNA. The record is from Ensembl. Lineage: Eukaryota; Metazoa; Chordata; Mammalia; Chiroptera; Pteropodidae.
GUCUAUGGCCAUGCCACCCUGAACAUGCCCGAUAUUGUCUGAUCUUGGAAGCUAAGCAGGGUUGGGCCUGGUUAGUAUUUGGAUGGGAGACCACCUAGGAAUAGCAGGUGCUAUCUAUA